Molecule: ribosomal RNA, 406 nt
Filed under: uncultured bacterium
Lineage: Bacteria
Description: partial 16S ribosomal RNA
Rfam family: Bacterial small subunit ribosomal RNA
Source: RNAcentral
AUUGAACGCUGGCGGCAUGCUUUACACAUGCAAGUCGGACGAGUGGCGAACGGGUGAGUAACAUAUCGGAACGUACCGAGUAAUGGUGGAUAACUAAUCGAAAGAUUAGCUAAUACCGCAUACUAUUUGAGCGGCCGAUAUCUGAUUAGCUGGUUGGUGGGGUAAAGGCUUACCAAGGCUACGAUCAGUAGCGGGUCUGAGAGGAUGAACGGCCAAACUAGAACUGAGCCACGGCCCAGACUCCUACGGUGGUCAGCAGUGGGGAACGUUGUAUAAAGGGCGAAAGCCUGAUCCAGCCAUGCCGCAUGUAUGAAGAAGGCCUUCGGGUUGUAAGGGACUUUUGUCAGGGAAGCGGUACCUGAAGAAUGUGCACCGGCUAACUACGGGCCAGGAGCCGCGGUAAUUC